This 2166-nucleotide ribosomal RNA is filed under the name Escherichia coli. RNAcentral describes it as "partial 23S ribosomal RNA". It matches the Rfam family "Bacterial large subunit ribosomal RNA", at positions 512 to 2661 of the family's 2925-position model. The record is from RNAcentral. Lineage: Bacteria; Pseudomonadati; Pseudomonadota; Gammaproteobacteria; Enterobacterales; Enterobacteriaceae.
AGGCGAAAAGAACCCCGGCGAGGGGAGUGAAAAAGAACCUGAAACCGUGUACGUACAAGCAGUGGGAGCACAGAGCAAUCUGUGUGACUGCGUACCUUUUGUAUAAUGGGUCAGCGACUUAUAUUCUGUAGCAAGGUUAACCGAAUAGGGGAGCCGAAGGGAAACCGAGUCUUAACUGGGCGUUAAGUUGCAGGGUAUAGACCCGAAACCCGGUGAUCUAGCCAUGGGCAGGUUGAAGGUUGGGUAACACUAACUGGAGGACCGAACCGACUAAUGUUGAAAAAUUAGCGGAUGACUUGUGGCUGGGGGUGAAAGGCCAAUCAAACCGGGAGAUAGCUGGUUCUCCCCGAAAGCUAUUUAGGUAGCGCCUCGUGAAUUCAUCUCCGGGGGUAGAGCACUGUUUCGGCAAGGGGGUCAUCCCGACUUACCAACCCGAUGCAAACUGCGAAUACCGGAGAAUGUUAUCACGGGAGACACACGGCGGGUGCUAACGUCCGUCGUGAAGAGGGAAACAACCCAGACCGCCAGCUAAGGUCCCAAAGUCAUGGUUAAGUGGGAAACGAUGUGGGAAGGCCCAGACAGCCAGGAUGUUGGCUUAGAAGCAGCCAUCAUUUAAAGAAAGCGUAAUAGCUCACUGGUCGAGUCGGCCUGCGCGGAAGAUGUAACGGGGCUAAACCAUGCACCGAAGCUGCGGCAGCGACGCUGAUGCGUUGUUGGGUAGGGGAGCGUUCUGUAAGCCUGUGAAGGUGUGCUGUGAGGCAUGCUGGAGGUAUCAGAAGUGCGAAUGCUGACAUAAGUAACGAUAAAGCGGGUGAAAAGCCCGCUCGCCGGAAGACCAAGGGUUCCUGUCCAACGUUAAUCGGGGCAGGGUGAGUCGACCCCUAAGGCGAGGCCGAAAGGCGUAGUCGAUGGGAAACAGGUUAAUAUUCCUGUACUUGGUGUUACUGCGAAGGGGGGACGGAGAAGGCUAUGUUGGCCGGGCGACGGUUGUCCCGGUUUAAGCGUGUAGGCUGGUUUUCCAGGCAAAUCCGGAAAAUCAAGGCUGAGGCGUGAUGACGAGGCACUACGGUGCUGAAGCAACAAAUGCCCUGCUUCCAGGAAAAGCCUCUAAGCAUCAGGUAACAUCAAAUCGUACCCCAAACCGACACAGGUGGUCAGGUAGAGAAUACCAAGGCGCUUGAGAGAACUCGGGUGAAGGAACUAGGCAAAAUGGUGCCGUAACUUCGGGAGAAGGCACGCUGAUAUGUAGGUGAAGUCCCUUGCGGAUGGAGCUGAAAUCAGUCGAAGAUACCAGCUGGCUGCAACUGUUUAUUAAAAACACAGCACUGUGCAAACACGAAAGUGGACGUAUACGGUGUGACGCCUGCCCGGUGCCGGAAGGUUAAUUGAUGGGGUUAGCGCAAGCGAAGCUCUUGAUCGAAGCCCCGGUAAACGGCGGCCGUAACUAUAACGGUCCUAAGGUAGCGAAAUUCCUUGUCGGGUAAGUUCCGACCUGCACGAAUGGCGUAAUGAUGGCCAGGCUGUCUCCACCCGAGACUCAGUGAAAUUGAACUCGCUGUGAAGAUGCAGUGUACCCGCGGCAAGACGGAAAGACCCCGUGAACCUUUACUAUAGCUUGACACUGAACAUUGAGCCUUGAUGUGUAGGAUAGGUGGGAGGCUUUGAAGUGUGGACGCCAGUCUGCAUGGAGCCGACCUUGAAAUACCACCCUUUAAUGUUUGAUGUUCUAACGUUGACCCGUGAUCCGGGUUGCGGACAGUGUCUGGUGGGUAGUUUGACUGGGGCGGUCUCCUCCUAAAGAGUAACGGAGGAGCACGAAGGUUGGCUAAUCCUGGUCGGACAUCAGGAGGUUAGUGCAAUGGCAUAAGCCAGCUUGACUGCGAGCGUGACGGCGCGAGCAGGUGCGAAAGCAGGUCAUAGUGAUCCGGUGGUUCUGAAUGGAAGGGCCAUCGCUCAACGGAUAAAAGGUACUCCGGGGAUAACAGGCUGAUACCGCCCAAGAGUUCAUAUCGACGGCGGUGUUUGGCACCUCGAUGUCGGCUCAUCACAUCCUGGGGCUGAAGUAGGUCCCAAGGGUAUGGCUGUUCGCCAUUUAAAGUGGUACGCGAGCUGGGUUUAGAACGUCGUGAGACAGUUCGGUCCCUAUCUGCCGUGGGCGCUGGAGAA